Molecule: ribosomal RNA, 406 nt
Filed under: uncultured bacterium
Lineage: Bacteria
Description: partial 16S ribosomal RNA
Rfam family: Bacterial small subunit ribosomal RNA
Source: RNAcentral
AUUGAACGCUGGCGGCAGGCUUAACACAUGCAAGUCGAGCGAGCGGCGGACGGGUGAGUAAUGUCUGGGAAUCUGCCUGAUGGAGGGGGAUAACUACUGGAAACUGUAUCUAAUACCGUAUACCAUCAUAUGUGCCCAGAUGGGAUUAGCUAGUAGGUGGGGUAAUGGCCCACUUAGGCGACGAUCCCUAGCUGGUCUGAGAGGAUGACCAGCCACACUGGAACUGAGACACGGCCCAGACUCCUACGGGAGGCAGCAGUGGGGAAUAUUGCACAAUGGGCGCAAGCCUGAUGCAGCCAUGCCGCGUGUGUGAAGAAGGCCUUGGGGUUGUAAAGCACUUUCAGUGGGGAGGCGUUACUCACAGAAGAAGCACCGGCUAACUCCGUGCCAGCCGCCGCGGUAAUAC